UCCCUCAUAGCUCAGUCGGUAAAGAAUCUGCCUGCAACGCAGGAGACCUGGGUUCAAUUCCUCGGUUGGGAA
Molecule: transfer RNA, 72 nt
Filed under: Ovis aries (sheep)
Lineage: Eukaryota; Metazoa; Chordata; Mammalia; Artiodactyla; Bovidae
Rfam family: tRNA
About the family: Transfer RNA (tRNA) molecules are approximately 80 nucleotides in length. Their secondary structure includes four short double-helical elements and three loops (D, anti-codon, and T loops).
Source: Rfam by way of RNAcentral